This 18549-nucleotide long non-coding RNA is filed under the name Vitis vinifera (wine grape). RNAcentral describes it as "long non-coding RNA (VVIN_LNC003891)". Lineage: Eukaryota; Viridiplantae; Streptophyta; Magnoliopsida; Vitales; Vitaceae. The record is from RNAcentral.
ACUCAGUGCUACGCUCCGAAGGGAGUUGAAGAUGAAAUUGCUGGCAGUUAAGGCAGUGCUGAAUGACGCCGAGGCCAAGCAAAUCACGAAUUCAGAUGUCAAAGAUUGGAUGGAUGAGCUGAAAGAUGCUGUGUAUGAUGCGGAGGACCUGGUGGAUGAUAUCACCACUGAAGCUUUACGAUGCAAGAUGGAGUCUGAUUCUCAAUCUCAGGUACGGAACAUCAUCUUUGGUGAGGGGAUCGAGUCCAGGGUAGAGGGGAUCACUGACACACUAGAAUAUCUUGCACAAAAAAAAGAUGUUCUCGGGUUGAAAGAAGGCGUUGGAGAAAAUUUGUCAAAAAGAUGGCCGACGACUUCCUUGGUAGAUGAGUCUGGGGUGUACGGUAGGGAUGCUGAUAAAGAGAAGAUAGUUGAGUCUUUGUUGUUCCAUAACGCAAGUGGGAAUAAGAUAGGUGUGAUCGCCUUGGUGGGUAUGGGCGGUAUUGGAAAGACCACCCUUACCCAGCUGGUCUAUAAUGAUAGGAGAGUGGUGGAAUAUUUUGAUCUUAAAGCAUGGGUUUGUGUUUCAGAUGAAUUUGAUCUUGUCAGGAUAACGAAAACCAUUCUUAUGGCAUUCGAUUCUGGGACUUCUGGAAAAUCGCCUGAUGACGAUGAUUUGAAUCUGCUUCAACUUAAAUUGAAGGAGAGACUUAGCAGGAAGAAAUUCUUACUUGUCCUUGACGAUGUUUGGAAUGAAGACUAUAAUAUUUGGGAUUUGCUGCGAACUCCAUUCAGUGUUGGUCUAAAUGGAAGUAAGAUUAUUGUAACCACACGAAUCAAGAAGGUUGCUGCAGUCAUGCAUUCAGCUCCUAUUCAUCCUUUAGGACAGUUAUCCUUUGAAGAUUGUUGGUCCCUAUUUGCAAAACAUGCAUUUGAAAAUGGAGAUUCUAGUUCACAUCCAAAGCUAGAAGAAAUUGGCAAGGAGAUUGUAAAAAAGUGUGAUGGAUUGCCUUUAGCUGCAAAAACCCUUGGAGGUGCCUUAUAUUCAGAGGUUCGAGUAAAAGAAUGGGAAAAUGUAUUGAACAGUGAAAUGUGGGAUUUACCAAAUAAUGCGAUUCUUCCUGCCUUAUUCUUGAGCUACUAUUAUCUUCCUUCACAUCUAAAACGAUGUUUUGCAUAUUGUUCUAUUUUUCCUCAAGACUACCAAUUUGACAAGGAAAACUUGAUUUUACUGUGGAUGGCAGAAGGGUUUUUGCAACAAUCAAAAAAAGGUAAGAAAACAAUGGAAGAGGUAGGUGAUGGGUACUUUUAUGACCUAUUAUCAAGGUCAUUUUUUCAAAAGUUUGGUAGCCACAAAUCAUAUUUUGUAAUGCAUGAUCUCAUUAGCGACUUGGCUCGAUUUGUUUCUGGAAAAGUUUGUGUUCAUUUGAAUGAUGAUAAGAUAAAUGAAAUUCCUGAAAAGCUUCGUCACUUAUCAAAUUUUAGAGGCGGAUAUGACUCCUUUGAGAGAUUUGACACCCUUAGUGAAGUUCAUUGUCUUCGGACCUUCUUGCCAUUGGAUUUGAGGACUCGGCAUCGGUUUGACAAGGUUUCAAAGUCAAGAAAUCCAGUUAAGAGUGGAAGGUAUGGUGGAGUGUUUUACUUGAGUAAUAGAGUUUGGAAUGAUUUAUUAUUGAAAGGUCAAUAUUUACGAGUGUUAUCGUUGUGUUAUUAUGAGAUAACGGAUUUGCCGGAUUCAAUUGGUAAUUUAACACAUUUACGCUAUUUGGACCUUACCUACACACCCAUCAAAAGAUUACCUGAAUCUGUUUGUAAUUUGUAUAAUUUACAGACAUUGAUAUUAUAUUAUUGUGAGCGUCUUGUUGGAUUGCCUGAAAUGAUGUGCAAAAUGAUUAGCUUACGUCAUCUUGAUAUCAGGCAUAGCAGAGUGAAAGAGAUGCCAAGUCAAAUGGGUCAAUUAAAAAUUUUAGAAAAAUUGAGUAACUAUAGAGUAGGCAAGCAAAGCGGGACGAGGGUUGGAGAGUUGAGGGAGCUUUCCCACAUUGGUGGGAGUCUUGUCAUUCAAGAGCUGCAGAAUGUGGUUGAUGCUAAGGAUGCCUCAGAGGCCAAUUUGGUAGGCAAGCAGCGUUUGGAUGAGUUAGAGCUGGAAUGGAAUCGUGAUAGUGAUGUUGAACAAAAUGGAGCAUACAUAGUCCUCAACAACUUACAACCUCAUUCAAAUUUAAGGAGACUCACUAUUCAUAGAUAUGGUGGUUCAAAAUUUCCAGACUGGUUAGGAGGUCCUUCAAUUCUGAAUAUGGUGUCGCUACGUCUCUGGAAUUGUAAGAAUGUGUCAACCUUCCCACCGCUUGGGCAGCUACCCUCCCUUAAACAUUUAUAUAUAUUGGGGUUGGGGGAGAUAGAAAGAGUGGGCGCUGAGUUUUAUGGGACUGAGCCCUCCUUUGUAUCCUUAAAAGCUCUAUCAUUUCAGGAUAUGCCAGUAUGGAAGGAAUGGUUGUGUUUGGGAGGCCAAGGUGGAGAAUUCCCUCGUCUCAAGGAGCUUUAUAUAAAGAAUUGUCCCAAGCUAACUGGGGACUUACCAAACCAUCUGCCUUUAUUGACGAAACUAGAGAUUGAAGAAUGUGAGCAGCUUGUGGCUCCACUUCCAAGGGUUCCAGCCAUCCGUGUAUUGACGACGCGCAGCUGUGACAUCUCACAGUGGAAGGAACUGCCACCACUAUUGCGGAGUCUCUCAAUUACAAAUUCCGACUCUGCGGAGUCUCUACUGGAGGAGGGAAUGUUGCAAAGCAACGCUUGUCUUGAAGAUUUGAGCAUCAUAAACUGUUCUUUUUCCAGACCCCUGUGCAGAAUUUGUUUACCCAUUGAAUUGAAAUCAUUGGCCAUCUAUGAGUGUAAGAAACUAGAGUUUCUCCUACCUGAGUUCUUCAAAUGUCACCACCCUUCCAUUAAACAUUUGGAAAUCUUAGGUGGCACUUGCAAUUCUCUCUCAUUCAAUAUCCCACACGGCAAGUUCCCAAGGUUGGCUAGGAUUCAAAUCUGGGGUCUCGAGGGGCUUGAAUCCCUCUCCAUUUCAAUUUCGGGCGGGGAUCUUACAACUUUUGCUUCGUUGAACAUCGGAAGGUGCCCUAAUCUUGUGUCUAUUGAAUUGCCAGCUCUCAACAUCUCACGAUAUUCAAUCUUCAAUUGCGAGAAUCUCAAGUCGCUGCUGCACAACGCUGCAUGCUUUCAAUCAUUAGUGUUAGAAGAUUGUCCGGAAUUGAUAUUCCCAAUACAGGGUCUUCCCUCCAACCUAACUUCACUAUUUAUUAGAAACUGCGACAAACUCACAUCCCAGGUGGAGUGGGGUCUGCAAGGACUGCCCUCUCUUACCUCUCUCACAAUCUCAGGUCUUCCAAAUCUCAUGUCCCUGGACGGUAUGGGGCUUCAACUGCUCACCUCUCUUCGAAAAUUACAGAUCUGUGACGGCCCCAAGCUCCAAUCUUUGACAGAAGAGCGGCUACCCAGCUCCCUUUCUUUUCUAACAAUCCGCGACUGUCCAUUGCUGAAAGAUCGGUGCAAGUUUUGGACAGGGGAAGAUUGGCAUCUUAUAGCUCACAUUCCACACAUUGUGAUCGAUGACCAAGUUUUGUAAUGAAGGUGGUAUUACACCAAUUUAUAGUCAGUUACUUAUUCUGUCCUCAAAGUAAUUUUCUCAGGAAAACUGACAUGUUAAAUACCAAUUUAAUUUCACCAGCUAUUAGGUUAUAAUAUUCUUAUUUCUAAACUAAAUAGAGGGUAUGAAUAGGAAAAAUAUGCUUUAAAUUUUCUAAUGAUUAUAAUAAUUUCUUGUUUUCUUUCAGGUUAUCCAUAAUUCUUCACUCUGCCACUGAUGCAACAUAUCUUCAUCAGGAAUCUUUUCAGACUCCUUUGCUUAAUUAGCGCCUUGCCGAAUGCUUUAGAUUUCAUCUAGAGUAAAUUGAUGAUUAAAAGCCAAGAAACUCUGCAGGUCUGAUUUAGUAACUUGUGUUUCUUGUAUAAUAUCAUGGACCUUGAGUUCAUUUCCAUUGGCUAAUUCACUGAAAUCUCAUGGCAGGCCUUUAGUUCUAGUUUUCUCAAAAAACUGGAGCUGUCUAGCAAUGAUUUUUCCAAUGGGACCACUUUUUGUUGAGUUCAGAGUAAAGACUCUCUUUCUAGAAGUAGCCGAGAUUUUUUGCAUCCAAACUACAGAAAGCUCGAUUCUGUUGAGAGUGGGGUAUGCUCUAUAAUUCCAAUUAAUAAUCCUUUAGGCAUUAUUUUUUAGGUUCUCUGAGGCUGCAUCUGUUGUAAUAUCUCAGUUCUUCUCUAAAGGCAACAACUAUGUUUCUUUUGGUUCGUACUUUCCAUAAACUGACACCUUGUGGAGUUCCAUCAUUUUCAAAACAAGAUAAACCUAAUACUAAAUUCUACUGAAGCUAAAACAAAAAUCUUACUGCCUGAGGUUAUAUCUUUUGAUGAAUUUUAUUCACUAUGUUCAUAUGGCAUCCGAGUGACCUGGAUGUCAACAUUUUCCUUGGUGCACAUGUUGUUUUCAUCUCUUUUAGCUUUAAUUAAUCUGCAGAUGUUCGGUUUAGGCACCUCACCUCCUAGUCACGCUCAUCUGAUUCUCAUUUACAUGAUUGUAAACUAAUAGUAAAUGAUAAUAUGAGCUCUGAUUUUCAUUUUUUAAAUUUGUAAUUCUGAAGCAGAUACUUGGAGAAGAGAGAAGGCAAACCAUAUUCAAUGUCAUAGCACUGCAGAGUAUGGUUUUGUUCCUCCCAAGUUCAGGUCAGUUGAGUUGAAUCUUAUUAAUACUUGAAGGAUGCAUGAUCAAAUAGUGUCAUAGCACUAUUUGUUAUAUUGGCUUUGUGCUAAGAAAUUGUGAACUAAUUGGAUCUACUCAUACCACCUCCCUCCAUAGAGGAAUUUUAAUAACUAAAUUCUAUUGAUUUGAGCAUGAUUUGAGCUUUUGUUCUCUCCUCAGUUUAUAGUUCAUAGUUUUGCAAUAAAAUUUUUAAAAGUCUAAAAAUUAUCUAUAACCCCACAUGAAUUUCACUGUCAAAUUCUUCUGAGUAACAUGUGACUAUUUUUAUUUUCAGAUGGUGGCAUUUUGAAUCUUUGGAGCAGUUCCCGGAGGAAGCUUUGCCAAAGCCUCCCUAUGCAAUAUAUGGGCCUUUGGUUGCAAGUGAGAUUUGAGGAUUUUAUUUUAUCUUGGAAGACUUCAACUCAUUUUUGUGAGUUUUGUGCUUUGAGUUUUACUUCCAAGUAUGUGCAAAGAAGAAAGGAACGACAAAGAUGGAUUCACUGGAGUUUUAUAUGGAGUAAGACUCCCAUGAAAAAUAUUGUAGCAAUUGGUUUGUCAGCCUUGAAGGUUGUAGUUUUAUUUCCCAUUUUGUUCUUUGAGGAAUGUGUUUGUUGAAUCAUAUAUUUUGAACUUACUGAUUUUGUGUAUAUUCAUUUACAUGUAAAUGAUAUUUUAAUCUUCAUUCAUAUAGAAUUUGCUUCUGUUUUAUAUGCUGAAAGGUUACAAGUUUGCUCUAGGGUUUCACUUCAAAGCCGCUAGAUGAACAAUACAAGGUCAAAUAUUACUUCCAUUGGAAUUUCCAUAUUGUCCUGAUUCAUCAUGUAUCCAGCUAUAGGAAUAAUUCAAGUGAGGUUAGAUAUGCCCUUUUUCUAAGUUUUUAUAUCAUAUAUUUGAAUGAAAUUCAAUUUAUCUAGAUGCUUUUCACAAGGGUUCCUUGACAUUUCAGCAUUUGGAUGGGAAGACUUGGAAUCAUUCCCAAAGGAAUGCUUGAUGCCCUGCACCCUUACCUCUCACCAAAUCUCAGGUCUUAACUGCUCACCUCUAUUUAAAAAAUUACAGAUCUCUGACUGCACAACUCCCUCUCUUUUCUAACAAUCAGGAACUGUCCAUUGCUGAAGCAUUGGUGCCAAUUUUGACAAAGGGAAGAUCAGCAUCAUAUAGCUCAUAUUCCACACAUUGUGGUGGACAACCAAGUUCUGUAAUGAAGGUGCUUGCUCUGUCCUGUAAAAAAUUUUCUUAAGGAAAAAAAAAAAAAGUUAUGCUUAAAUACCAAUUUUUAUUUUCUUUCUGAUUUGUACAUCCUUAAUCACUCUGGUUUUGCUUCCACAUAUCCUCAUAUCUAAUCUUCUAAAUUUCCCUUGCUCAGUUGGUGCCUAUGUUGAAUCUUUCACGCAUCUGCCUAUGAUCAAUUGAUGUUUAUAAAGCUGGUGCACCAAGCAGCUCUCUGUGUAUGAUUUCUUGACCUGUAUUUUUUUUUUCUUUUGUAUUUUUUGUUGUCACUUCCAAGGGUUGGGACUUUGUCUGGAAAUAGGUACCAGAGACACUUUCUUGGUACUUGGCAGUUGAAGGGAUCAACACUAAUGUGUGGCCAAUUAAAUCCUUUUUACCACCUUUUGCAUCCAAAGGCACAUAAGAUCUUGGCACUCUGCUCAAGGGUCCGCAAAAGUAUAAUUUAGAUUAAAUUCAUAUUAAGACAGGUACAUGCUGUAUGCUCAAAAUGAUUUUCUUUCAAAAAUGUUCAGUUACCAAUUCAUUGAGGAGCCAAAGUUGUACUUCAAAAUUUCUAAUUAUUUAAUUUUUAAAUUUCUGAGGUUAAUAUUGGACACUUCCUGUAAGACUGGAAGCAGCUUUCCAGGUAUAAGAAGAGACUUGUCUUCUUGAUAUAUAUUUAUGAGCCUCAAUCUUUUCUGUGGGCUGAUCUAUUGAUAUUCAUUGCAGGCUUUCAAUUAUGAUUUUCUCUCUAAAUACAAGACAUUUGGCCAUGAUCUCCCCAGUGAAACAAUAUUUGAUGACUCUCCCCUGUGGAACACAUAUUUGUAACUAUUCUAAGAUCUUUGAAUUAUGUUCAACUAUAUUCAAGAAUCAUACAUCUACAAAAGUUAUUUGCUGGCCUUGUUAUUGGAGAUUGAAGUGUGCAGGACACUCUGUUUGUCUGAUAUAGAGUUUUUUUUUUUUAAAGCCAGUAGUCUCGAGCAAGGAUAUGAAGAGGAGUAAACGGAGAUUGACGACAGGUAACAUAUUCUUUAUGCACACUUAUUCAAUAAGAAUUGUAAUUUCACAUCUACGUAUUGUAAGAUUUAUAACUUCAUAAGCAUUAUAUGCUGAAUCUAACGCAAGUAUCCUAAGCUUUCAGCUCUGAGUUUCUCAACAUUACUUGAGGCUUUUGAUAACUAUCUAACCAUUUCAGCUCUCUUAAUGAAUCGUUCAUAAAAUGCCUUCUUCCUUUGAUUUUAGAUUUUUUACUUGAGUCCAGAGGGGUAUAAUUUUACCUGCUGAUGUCCUUACAAUGCUUUAAAAUAGAGAUUUAAUUUUCUAACCCCUAAAUUGCAACUAUUUUGAUCAUGUAAUACAUCGGUUUGCAGGUCAUAUGAAAAUCAGUAUCUGCAACAAUAACUUAUUUUUUCCAAAAACCAAUGGGUAUGUAUUACUUGAAGCAUCACUUGCCAAUACUUCUAAUCAAAUAUGUUUGAAAUUUUAUCCACACAAUCAUGAAUUCUUGGACUGACUAUUUAUUGUUAUGUAACAUAUUUUGAAUAAUGUGGAUACUCAAACUAAAAUCUUCAUAUUCUGAUUUGCUUAUGCUCAUCUUAUUCUCCUUUACAUUGUCUUCAUCAACAUCAGGACUUUAAUAUUCCAGCUUUCUUGUACUAUCAAAUGAUUAAUAUGUUCAGAAUCUUUUGUUGAUUCAAUUUGUGAUUCUGGGCCAGAGACUUUUAGAAGAGAGAAGGCGAAGCAUAUUCAAAGUGACAGCACUGCAGAUUGGCUUUGUCCGCCCAAGUUCAGGUCAAUAGAGUGACAUCUUAUUGAUACUAGUGUUGAUUUUCCAAACUUGAUAUAUUAGCAUCAACAGCUUCUGCAAUACCUUAAGGAAUUGUGAAUUAAUUGGAUCAACUCAUACCACCACCCACCAUAUAUAAAUUUUAACAACUACAAAUAUUUAGAGGAUGGUAGCAUAUUUUAAUGGUUUUGGUCCUAAAAGAAAAUAUAGGUUGAAUAUGUUCUAAAUUUAAUUUAAAGUUAGAUGGUUUAACUAUCAAAUUCCGUCGAUUAUCAUGUGGCAAAUUUUAUCUUCAGAUUACCACUUUGGAUCUUUGGAGCAGUUCCAGAAGGAAGAUUUGUCAUUGCCUGCCUUAAGUUGCAUUCUAAAAGGUCCAUGUGGAGUGAGCUUUUAGUCCCAAGUAUGCGACAAGCAAGAUAUAACAUGGAGGGACUUGCAGAUCUGAUUUUAAAGCAUGAAGAUGCAUAGUUGUUUCUUUGAAAAUAAGAAAACAAUGCCAAAAUCUUGAUUAAGUUUUAUGUGGAGUGGGACUAUUAAUUUGACCUUUAAGAUUUCAGUCUAGUAUCUUAUCUUGUUCUUUGAGAAAUCAAUGUGCUAUUGUCUUGAAGCAGUUGUUUUGAAUUCCCUUGUUGAACUUGUAUUUUGACUUGGAAUGAUGUCUUUGUAUUGAGUUUUUCAUCCAUCUUGAAUUUUCUUCUUUGCUAGAUGCAGAAAAGUAACAAGUUUGGUCAAAUAUUACUUCAAAUGGAAUUUUCAUGUUAUGCUAGUUCAUCAAAGAUCAUAUGCUAUUUUUCCGUUAUUUAUAUUCGGAUCGAUUAUUGAACCGGAAAAGUGAUAGAUUUGUAGUUCGAUGGUCGGAUCAGUGGUUGAACUACAGUUGACUUGUGAAAUCAUAAAUAUAUGAUUUAUGUAUUAUUAAAAUUAAAAAUAAUUAUUAAAAAAAAUAAAAAAUGAUAAAUUCUAUUGAAAUUUUUGACAACAUUCUUGUCUUUGUCGAGUUAUUUCAUGGAAGUUUUUACCCAUAAAAUCUUCUUAUGUUCUAUUUCAUAGCACAAUAUAUGAUGUUAUACCUUCAUCGAUAUAAAUCAACAUAUUGACCAAAAUAUUUAUAUAUGACAUCUACAUAUAAGUAUUAAUGAUCAAUUUCUCAAUAAGUUUUUAACAUAUCAUCCGUGAUAUAAUCGCCCAUCACAACAUAAAUAGUUGCUUAAAAUAUAACAUGUCACUGUUUAAUUGAUUCAUAAGCAAUUAUUUGCAUCAAUUUUAAACUUUAUUUUUAGUUUUAACUUCAAUUUCAAUUUAAAACUUUUUCUUUAAUUUUGAUUUUAAUUCUAAUCUAUGUCUUAAUUUUAAUUCCCAUUAUAAUAUUAAUAUUAAUAUUAAUUUUUUGUUUUCAUAAUAAUAAUAAUAAUAAUAAUAAGUUUAAUUUUGUGUUUAAUAAUAAUAAUAAUAAUAAUGGGUCCUAUUUUUUUUUAAGUAUAUUUGAUAAUAUAAAUUUUAAACCACUUAAAAUUAAAAGCACUUAAAAUCCACUUAUUUCAUUUAGCAAUAGAGAUCUAACUAAUUAUUUAUAACACAACAUGUUCGAUGACUUUUAAAUUUUUAUAACUUUUUUAUUCCAUCCUAACCAUUUUUUUUAUAAAAUAAUGAUUUUUAUUAUUGAAUUAUUUUUAUUAUAAAAUUUCACUUCCUCUAAAUUAAAACGCUUUCUUUUGAAUUAAAAUAUUUCAUUACUAAUUCCUUAAUACAAUAAAAUUAAUUUCUAAAAAAAUUAUUUUAUACAAGUUCUUUUAAAAUAGAAUAUUUUGUUUUUAUUGAUUUUUAAUAAUUUAAUACAAUAAAUUAGAAUUCUAAACAACCUCUAUUUAAUCAAUUUAUAAGAAUUACUCUCUCACGUCUUUUAUUUUAAGUUUUCCUAUCAAUAUGUAUAUAUCAUAAUAAUUUAUUUAUUUAUUUUUAAUUCCUUAAUAUGAUAAAAUUAAAAUUAUAAUAAAUUCUAUUUAAUUGAUUUAUAAGAAUAACAAUUAUAAAAAAUUUCUUGGUUUGUAUAAUUAUAGAGAAAAGAAAAAAAGAAAAAGAAACAAUUUAAAAGGUAGAAUGUAUGAACUUUUUAUGUGUUGUAAAAUAAAAGAAUAAUGAUAAGAAAAUACGAGAGAAUAAACAAAGACAUUCAAAGAAAAGUAGAAUAGAAUGUAGGAAAAGAACGAGAUGAAUUUUCAUUAGAGGUAUCUCCCUUUUAUAGGGAGUUACAAACGGAUAUAUAUCAAUAUGGAUGAUCAUUCAGAAAUUUUCAUAAUCCGAUAAAUUCUUAUAUUUUAUAACACUCCCCCUUGAAUGAUUAUAAGAAUAUGCCUUAUCAAAACCUUAUUGGGAAAAACCCUAGUGAAGGAAAAAAAAGUACAAUAUUCUUUUGGAUUACUACGACUGCCUCAUUAAAAACCUUACCAGUAAAACCCAAUGAGACAAAACCUGGACGAAGGAAAAAAGAGUGUAGCGUAGUGAUAUUCUUAUCAAUUAGCUCUCCCUCAUGUUGACAUGAUUAUGUUUUCUUUAGUAGUACAACAUGGAGAUCUUUGAGUCGGUGUAUUCCAAUGAGCUUCUUGAGUAUUGCAGUUGACAAUACCUUUGUGAAUAGAUCUACUAAAUUGUCACUUGAUCUUAUUCAUCGAAUAACAAUUUCAUCACUCUUCUGGAGUUAAUGAAAGUAAAAGGCUUGAGCAAUAUAUGCUUAAUUCUAUCACCCUUGAUGUAUCAUACUUUAAUAAGUGCAAUACAUGUAACAUUAUUAACUUGGUAGCAUUACCUCUAAUGGAUGGUAGUCCACAUUUUUCCAUUAUUUGCUUGAUUGAUCUCCACAAUAUUGUCGUACCACCAUAGAUAAAUACAUAUUUCAUUUGAGAUCGAGCAUUGUGGGGGUUUGAAAGAUAGUCAACAUCUACCUUGAAGAUAACAUAAACCCAUAUUAUUGUAUUACAUGAUUGAUUUUAUUCCAAUGUCUUUAAGGUGGUGUAGAACUAUAUUUCACAAGUAAAUUAACAAGGAAUGCAAUAUCUGGUUGUGUAUAAUUUGCAAGAUUCAUCGGUACACCAAUAACAUUGUAAUAUGGUACUUCUAGACCAAGUAGUUCUUCAUUAUCUUCUUUAGGACAUAAGAGCUUAUUUUUCACUUCAAGUGAAUGAACUAUCAUCAGAGAACUUAAUGAAUGUGAUUUAUCCAUAUGAAGGUGCUUCAAGACUUUCUUUGUAUAUGUUGACUAAUAAACUAAUAUUUCGUUUGAAAAGUACUUGAUCUAUAAGCUGAGGAAAAAUUUUUGUUGUCCAGGAUCUUUUAUUUCAAAUUUACUUUUCAAAUAGUCAACUAUUUUGGUAAGCUCUUUAAGAGUUCCAACAAAAUUCAAUGUUCCACAUAUACUAUAAUAAUUGUAAAUAUUCCACAUAAUGAAUAUGCAUAGACAAAUAAGAUAACACAUACAUACUUUUCACUUCAAAUAUUCAUUGAAGUGAUCAUACCACAAUUCUUUGGAUUGCUUAAUCGAUACAAGGAUCUUUGUAGCUUAAUUGAGUAUAUGUUACAAUGUUUGAAUUAAUUGCUUUAGGCAUUUGAAAUCCUUCAGGGUAUAUAUAUAUAUAUCUAAAGAUCCAUGUAAAUAUGCAGUAACGACAUCCAUGAGACACAAAUCCAGUCAUUCUAAGAUUGUUAAACAAAUUAGAUAUCUAAAUAUGGUUGCGUCCAUCAUAGGAGAAUAUGUUUUCUCGUAGUCAAUACUAGGUUUCUGUGAGAAACCUUGAGCUAUGAGUCAUGUUUCAUAUCUUGUGAUUUCAUUUUUCUCAUUACACUUUCUUAUAAAGUUUCAUUUAUAUCCAACAAGUUUGACAACUUCAGGAGUUUGGACUACAGAUCCAAAUACUUCAUGUUUUUCUAAUGAGUCUAAUUUUUUCGAGAUGUAUUCUUUCCAUUUUGGCCAAUCUUUUCUAUGUUGACAUUCAUUCAUAGUUUCUACUUUGGGAUCCUCAUCAUUUCUUAUGAUGUCAAUAGCUAUUUGGAAAGAAAAUAUAUUGUCAAUGACAAAAGUAUUUCAAUCCCAUUUUUCUCUAUAUAUAAGUAAAUAAUUGAGACUUCAUCAAUAUCAGGUACUUGUACUUUUUCAAGAGCUAAUUGUAAAACAUAUGUCUUUCAUAGGGUUACUCGUUUAAAUUAUGCCUCUUCAGGGGUUGCUUGAGACCGAUAAGUCAUUUUAAUAACUCAUUUUAUAUGCAACUUCUUUAAGAGUGCCACAUUUCAUAUAUCUUUCCUUGUGUUUUCCUCUUCUAGGGAAUGUGUUUGUCUCUUUAGGGUCUGCCAUGUUUCAAGCAUGCCUUAGACUCAUUAUUUAAUUGUCCUUCAGGGACAUCAACUCAUUAUUUAAUCGUCAUUUAGGGACAUCACCGCAUUAUUUAAUUGUCCUUCAAGGACAUCAAUUCGUACUGUAAUAUUCUAGGUUAGUAAAAAUGAUUUUGUCACUUUCUUUGCAUCAAUGAAAACAUUUGGUAGUUGAUUUGAAAUUUUUUACAAAUAAAUAAUCUUUUAAACUUCUAGUUCACAUUGAUUAGUACGCUAAUCAAGAUAAGUCAAAGUCAAUGCAUUCCAAAUAAUUUCAUAUCAUUCUUUUGGAACAGGCUCUUCUCCUCCCAAUGAUGAGAAAAUUGUCUCAUUAAAAUGAUAAUAUACAAAACAUGUCAUUCUACCUUUUAAGUGUAUAGGUAAACUAGUCACUAAAUAAAAACUUCUGGUUUUAUAAUGUACAUCCAUAUGACCUUUUACCUUAGGGGACCAAGUUAGUCUUACUAGAUUCUUCUGCAUUUAACAUCGUAUAAAUCAAAUACUAUUAGUGACAUAAUAUAAGCUCUUUUGGAGCCUUUAAUUAGGUUUCUAUCACCUGAUAUAGUAUUAACAUUGUCUGUCAUCAAUGUUGUGUAAUUAAUAACACAAGAGUUUCAUCAAAAUAACAACUCAUAAAGACCUUGCCUUUAUAGAGUUGAAGAAAUAUUAUCAUAGAGAAAGAGUUAAAUCAAUGAAAAAUAUUAGUCAUCGAUGAUAACUUAACUUAAUAAGUUGUGUAAAAGCAAUGAGAGCAUAUAUAACACAAUAAAACAAAUAUGAAAAAGAUAAUUUAAAGUUAUAUAUUUCUUAAAUAUCUAAACCAUUUUAUUUUGUAAGUGUGAAACAAUUUAUACAUGAAAUAACUAGGAAGUAUUUCAAUAAUCAAACUAAUUGUAGUGAUAGAUCAAUAAUUUUGUUCAAAAUAUUAUUAUGAUGUAAAUCAAUGUGCAAAAAUUAUUUUAUAAAUAAAAAUUUCAAGAGAACAUAUCAUGAUUUAAAACAUCUUGUUGUCUCAAAACUUUAAUUGAAAUACUAUAAAUCCAUCUAAACAUAUAUGUAAAUAUAUAACAUAAUAUAUUGAGAACAAUAGUUGAAUCUAUUUUAAUUUCAAAAUUAAUUUUGGAUAAUGAAAUUAUUGCAUUAAUAAAAAAAGCAUAUGUGGCAACAUGUAAUAAUAUAUUAUUUUAUAUAACUCAAAAAUUUUCAAUCAUAAAAACAUGUUAUAAAGAAAAUUGACAAGUAAAAUCAAUUUAUUAAUCCUAUGACCAAGUCAUAUAUUUCAUAUGUAUCCAAAAAAUCUUAAUUUGUUAAAUCAAAAGAUUAUUGUGUAUUAAACAAUUAGAAUAACAAAAAUAUUUCAAACUAUCAUCUCUAAUACAAAAAUAUCAUACUUUCAUGCAAUCCAAAAUUCCACAUCUAUAUGUAAAUUUUUCUACUAAUAACAAUAUAACUUCUAAUAAUAGAAAUUUAUAAAAACUAUCAAACACUUACCUAUUUGUAUAACUUGAUGUACAAAAUAUUAAUCUUUUGAUAAUAUGUAAAUAUUAUCUAUAUGCUUGUUAUCAUAGCUUCAGACCAUAACAUAUUUCAUUAUAACUUUAGGUUAUAUACAUUUCAUAAAGUUGUACAAAAUUAUUAGUUAACAAUUUUGUUCUCUAUAGCUUCUAACUAUAAGAAAGUACAUAUUAACAACUUUGGCAUAACCUUUGAUUAGCACAAAGAAUAUUAAUUUUCUUAUUUUCAUAACUUCGGACUAUGCAUGAAUAAUAAUAUUUAUAUAACUUAUGGUUAUAUAAUAUAAAUUUAUAAUAAAAAAAAAAAUAUUUUUUCAUAUAGCUUUUGGCCAUACAAGUUUUAACAAUUAUUAAUUUACUAACUUUUUCUUCAUAGCUUUAGGUUAUGAAUAAUUAAAAUUUAAGUAAUAUUAUAAUAACAUUAAACAAUUGAGAAUUGACAAUUAUGUUAUGAUAUAACCUCUGGUUAUAUCAUAAGAAAGUACAUCAAUGUCCUAAUUAAGUUUUAUACUAGAGUGGGACUCCUAUGAAUGAUUAAAUUGCAUAGAAUUCAAUUUAUUUAUGUCUAUCAAUCUUUGUUUAAUUUCUAUAGAAAAUAUUAAUAGAAGGAACUAUUUCAUAUUUUAGUAUAAUUUAAGCUUGAUUGAUACUACUUCUUAAAAAUGUUAAAAGGAUUAAAUUGAGAUAUGAAUUACAGUACCUAUUGAUUUUUUAUAAUUUAUAAAAAAAAUUAAGAUAGCAAAGGAAAAUGAGGAGAAAGAGAAUUAGUACUAGGGUUUUAAAUGAGUGUGGUGAUGAAGAUGAUGGGAUAAGCCCUUCAUCCAACCUUUGAGGGCUAGCAGAAGUUCUUUAAGCCCUUUUAUGGGUGUUGUUUUUUUUUUUUUGAAAUCUAAAUAGUAAGUUAAUCAUUUAAAGCCAAGUCAUAAGUCUACUAUGAGUGAAUUGAAUUUCCCUCAUUAAACUUUCUUUGUAUUUGAGGUUGAUAUUGUAUGGUUAUGAUAAUUUUGUUUUUUUGACAUGCAAUAGAGUUUGCUCCUCCUUUGUAUUGACAAGCUGCUCAAUUUGCAUUUUUAUUUUAUUUGCCAAUAACAGCUUAAAGCUUGUGGAAAAUUAGGUUGACAACAUAUCAAGUUGGGUUACAUUGGAAUGAGGCUUUUGGAUUUUAUUAUUUAAUAAUCUCGUAUGUGUGCACUAAGAGCCAGUCUGAUGGUUAUACUUUUUAAAUAAAAAAAUAAAAAUUCAAGUAUUGAAAAGGCUAAAACCACUUUUUAAAAUCAUUUUCAAAUACAUUAUUAAGUUUAAUAAUAUCAGUAUAACUCAUAGCAUAUUUAGAUGAAUAUGUGAUAAUUAGAACCCUUUUAAUAUUUGAAAGUAUUUAUUUCCCAUAAAAAUUAGCUAUUUUGUAAAUAAAUUAAUAAUUGUUUUAAAAAUCUAAAAAAAUCAUUUAAGUAAUUUUUAAACUAGUAACUAAGAGAUGCUUCUUUUAAUUAUUUUUAUUAUGUAAUAUAUCACCAAAAAUACUAUCAAGUCACCUUUUGGGUUUAUAUCUAGACCUUAAUUUGACUAAAUGGAAAUAGAUCUUAAUAUUAUUAAAUAUCAAUUUGUUUUUAAUAUUGAAGUGUUAAUUUUUUUUUCUCAGUGAUGUGUUACUAUUUCUAUGAGUUAAAUGAAGAAUCUUUAUCCUUAAAAAAUAAUUUAUUUUAUUUUACUUAUUUUAAAUAAUUUUCAUAAAGAUGUUUCGAAACUAAUAAUUUAAAAAAUAUUAAUUUGAUAUAUUUAGGAACAACCUUAAAUAUUAAAAAAAAAUUAUAAUAUGAUUUUAUCUCAUUCAAAUAAGAUAUUUGAAACUUAAUAAUUUGAUAAAAAGAUAGUACUUUAAUAUAGCUUUUAAUAUCCUAAAGUACCAAAACUGAUUGCAAUAACCAAAACUUUAGGGAAAAGUGAGUUCUAAUUUACUAAUUUAAAAAAAUAUAAACAAAAAUAUUCUAACUUUUAUAAAUCAAUUUUAUCUUCACUCAUCUAAAAAUAUUUUAAAAUAAAUGCAAUUUUUUAUAACUGAAAAAAAAUUAAACUUUUUAUUUUUAUUUUUAUUUUUAUUUUUUUAUUUCUUUUAACCCUGAGAACUGAUUUGAGAUUAAUAAAAUAAGAAAUUUUAAAAAUUAAAAAUACAAUUAAAACUAAAAGAACUUUAAAUCUAAAAAUAUAAAAGUAAAAUAUUAACUUUUACUUAGUUAAAACAAUAUGGUAGAAAAUAUAGAUAUCGAGAAAGUGUUGAAAAUACAAUAGGAGUAAAUAUUUAAUUUUUUAUUUUAAAGUUUUUUUAAUUGUAUUUAAUUUUUAUGUAUUUUAGUUUUAAUUGUAAUUGUAAUUUUAAAAUUUUCUUAUUUUAUUGUUGAUGUCAACUAACAAAAUUUUUAUUCAAUUUUAUUUUAAAAAUAAAAGAAAAUGAGGGAAUUUAUAUAAUACAUGAUAUAAAAUCAUUAUUAAUUAAUAUAACAAAGUAAAAUGAUAUUUCAGAAAAUAAUUAUUUGACUUAUAAAAAAGUAAUGUAUUUUAAAAUAUUUUUAAAUUAAUGAAAAUAAAACCAAUUUAUAAAUAUUGAUUUUUUUUUUCUAUUUUCUUUCAAAUUAGUGAGUCAAAACCUACUUUUUUUCAUCAAAUUAUAUGAAAUUAUAAUUUGAUUUAUUUUUAAGUAGUUUUUUAAAAGUAAAUUGGUUUUCUUUAGGAAAAUAACUAUUGUAAAGUUAAAAGAAAAACAACAUUUUUCAUUGACAGAAAAUAAGAAAAUAAAAAUUCAACCUUUUCAUUAACACAAACUUGUCUUAAAAUAAUUAAUAAUUAGGGAAAAAAAAAAGGCGAGGUCACUAGUUAAUUCUUGUAAAAGCAUUUCUAAAGAAGUAAUAAAAGACUAGAGAUUAAAUACACUUUUAUUUUAACCACUUGCAAACAAGCCCUCAAUUAAUAAACAACAAAUAUGAUAAAAUAUCAUUUGAGAUCAUAUUUAUUUAACAUUAAAAUUUCAUGGCAUGCUUCCUAAAACUGUGUAAUUUGAUUGUAAUUCAUUUUUCCCAUGCGAUUUUAAGCCUCUUCUUUAUCUUUAUAAAAUUUUAUGAGCAAACAUAAAAUAUGAUAGUCACUUAGAAAGCCUUAAGGUUGUUUGAUUCUCAAAAAAUUUGAAUUAAAAGCAAGGGAAGAAAGUAGAAAAAAAAUAAAAGUAAAAGAAAAUAAAAAACUAGAUAUAGAGUCAAUUAAUUAUUUGUUAUGUACUAUUUUAAACCCAUUUAAUUUAUUUUAACGUUUUUAUAUAAAGAUUGAAUAAAAAUAUAUAAGUUUCUAUCUAAUUUUAUUUUUAUUUAUUUAUUUUUAUAUUUUUCUUAAUAAAAUGGAAUAUGAGAAAAACAUUUUUUUUCCUAAAAAUGAAAGACUAAGCAAAUGAAGUCAAAUUUAGCCGAAACUUGAAUUUGAUAAAUCUAGAAACCUUAAAAAUCAACUUCUAAAUCAAAUGAUCAUAAAAAAACCAUCAAUUAAGCCUUAAUCUAAAAUGGUUCCAAAUUUGCCUAAAAAAAACUUAUUAAUUAAGUUCCAAAAAUUAUGAAACUCUCAAGAUCUAAUAUAUAACAAAAACCGUUUCAACAUACCAUGUUGAAAAUCUAUUAAUGUUUUCUAAAUUAUUUUCCUAUAAAAAUGAAUUUGGAAUUACAUGACAUUAGACUCUACAUUCUUGCAACCCAUGCUCAACAUCAUUUUCUUCUUCAAAGGGUGGUCCAGAUUCCUUUCCAUCUUAUCUUUGUGUGGUGGACAUUCAAGGGUCUCUUUUCAACAUUUUGCAACUCAGGUGGGUGAUUUUGUCAAUGUCAUACUGUUCAAAGUCUCUUAAUGUUGUAAAGUAUUGAAGGGGAAGGCCUUUCCAACAUGUUAUGCAUCCAGAAAACAUACAAUCAAUAAUUUUAUUAUUGGUCCAGAAGCCUGUUGUUGAGUUUAUCGUGGAGAUUAUAGGUCCUGCAAAUUAAAUAUGUAUAAGGUUGAUGUAUAUUUUCUUAUUUAUUUGUAAGGCAGGGAUCAAUUGCAACCCAUAAGAUAUGGGUGGGUAGAAAAUGAGUUCAUCUGUACAUUUGGCAUUAGUUGAUAGGCCAUCUUCUUCAUCUACCUCUUUCUUCUAUCCAAGGCCCAGGCUCUUCCUCGUUGCUUUGCAUCUGCUUUCUCUCAUUCUUCUCUGAUCCACUACUCGCUUCCCUUACAAACCAACAGACAUGGCCGGGGCUGUAGCAGGAGGGGGAGCACUUCUCUCGGCUUCUCUCCAAGUUAUAUUUGAUCGGAUGGCUUCUCGCGACGUCCUCACCUUCCUCCGGGGACAGAAACUCAGUGCUACGCUCCUAAGGAAGUUGCAGAUGAAAUUGCUGGAAGUUCAGGCAGUGCUGAAUGAUGCCGAGGCCAAGCAAAUCACGAAUUUAGCUGUUAAAGAUUGGGUCGAUGAGCUAAAAGAUGCUGUGUAUGAUGCGGAGGACCUGGUGGAUGAUAUCACCACUGAAGCUUUACGGCGCAAGAUGGAGUCUGAUUCUCAAACUCAGGUACGGAACAUCAUCUUUGGUGAGGGGAUCGAAUCCAGGGUAGAGGAGAUCACUGACACACUAGAAUAUCUUUCACAAAAAAAAGAUGUUCUCGGGUUGAAAAAAGGCGUUGGAGAAAAUUUGUCAAAAAGAUGGCCGACGACUUCCUUGGUAGAUGAGUCUGGGGUGUACGGUAGGGAUGUUAACAGGGAGGAGAUAGUUAAAUUUUUGUUGUCCCAUAAUACAAGUGGGAAUAAGAUAAGUGUGAUCGCCCUGGUGGGUAUGGGCGGUAUUGGAAAGACCACACUUGCUAAGCUGGUGUAUAAUGAUAGGAGAGUGGUGGAAUUUUUUGAC